AUCCCAGUUUUUCCCCAAAUUCCUCUUUUAUUCACCCAAAAUCCUGGGUUUUUGUCACCAAAUUCCCAUUUUUUUUUGCCCCAAAUCCCCUGUUUUUCCCCCCAAAACCCUAAAAUCCCAUUUUUUUCCCCCAAACCCACCAAAAAUUACAUUUUUUCCCCCCAAAUCCCGUUUUUCUUGCCCCCAAAACCCUCAAAUCCCAUUUUUUCCCCCAAAAUUCUGCUUUUUCCCUCCCAAAACCCCAAAAUUUUGUUUUUUCACCCCAAAGCCCCCGAAAUUCCAUUUUUUUCCCUCCAAAAUUCUGGUUUUUCCCCCCAAAAUUCCGUUUUUCCCCCCAAAAUCCCAUUUUUUUGCCCCAAAACUCCCAAAAUUCCGUUUCUUCCCCCCAAAUCCCACUUUUUCCCCCCAAAACCCCCAAAAUCCCAUUUUUUUGCCCCAAAACCUCAAUUUCCCACUGUUUUCCCUCCCAAAUCCCGGGUUUUUUCUCCCCAAACCCCCCAAAAUUCCAUUUUUCCCCCCCAAAAUCCCCAAAAUUCUGUUUUUCCCCCCAAAAUUCCAUUUUUUCUCAAAAAACCCCCAAAAUCCCAUUUUUUCACCCCAAAACCCCGAUUUCCUGCUGUUUUCUCCCCCAAAUCCUUGAUUUUUUCCCCCCAAACCCCCCAAAAUUCCAUUUUUCCCCCCAAAAUUCCGUUUUUUCCCCACAAAAUUCUGUUUUUUCCCACCAAAAUUCUGUUUUUUCCCCCAAAAUUCCAUUUUUUCGCCCCAAAACCCCAAUUUCCCGCUGUUUUCCCCCAGCUCUCCUGGCGGGCGCGGUCGCGGGCGAGGACGAGGAGGAUCUGUUUUCCCCCAAAAUCCCAAAAUCCCGUUUUUUCGCCCCAAAACUCCCCAAAUCCCUUUUUUUCCCCAAAAAAACCCCAAAAUUCCGUUUUUUCGCCGCAAAACCCCAAUUUCCCGCUGUUUUCCCCCAGCUCUCCUGGCGGGCGCGGUCGCGGGCGAGGACGAGGAGGAUCUGGGCAACCUCUGGGCCACGGCCNNNNNNNNNNNNNNNNNNNNCCGAAUUCCCAUUUUUUUACCCCAAAUUCCCAUUUUCCCUCCCCAAAAUCCAGAAUUCCCAAGUUUUCCCCCCAAAACCCCAAAUUCCCAUUUAAAUCCCAGUUUUUCCCCAAAUUCCUCUUUUAUUCACCCAAAAUCCUGGGUUUUUGUCACCAAAUUCCCAUUUUUUUUGCCCCAAACCCACCAAAAAUUACAUUUUUUCCCCCCAAAUCCCGUUUUUCUUCCCCCCAAAACCCCAAAAUUCCAUUUUUUCACCCCAAAGCCCCCAAAAUUACAUUUUUUUCCCUCCAAAAUUCCGGUUUUUCCCCCCAAAAUUCUGUUUUCCCCCCCAAAAUCCCGUUUUUUCGCCCCAAAACUCCCAAAAUUCCAUUUUCUCCCCCCAAAUUCCACUUUUUCCCCCCAAAACCCCCAAAAUCACGUUUUUUCUCCCCAAAACCCCGAUUUCCCGCUGUUUUCCCUCCCAAAUCCUGGGUUUUUUCCCUCCAAACCCCCCAAAAUUACAUUUUUCCCCCAAAAUCCCCAAAAUUCUGUUUUUCCCCCCAAAAUUCCAUUUUUUCCCAAAAAACCCCCAAAAUCCCAUUUUUUUGCCCCAAAACCUCAAUUUCCCACUGUUUUCCCUCCCAAAUCCCGGGUUUUUUCUCCCCAAACCCCCCAAAAUUACAUUUUUCCCCCCAAAAUUACAUUUUUUCCCCACAAAAUUCCGUUUUUUCCCCCAAAAUUCUGUUUUUUCCCCAAAAAUUCCAUUUUUCCUCCCAAAACCCCAAUUUCCCGCUGUUUUCCCCCAGCUCUCCUGGCGGGCGCGGCCGCGGGCGAGGACGAGGAGGAUCUGUUUUCCCCCAAACUCCCAAAAUCCCGUUUUUUCGCCCCAAAACUCCCAAAAUCCCUUUUUUUCCCCAAAAAAAACCCCCAAAAUUCCGUUUUUUCGCCGCAAAACCCCGAUUUCCCGCUGUUUUCCCCCAGCUCUCCUGGUGGGCGCGGUCGCGGGCGAGGACGAGGAGGAUCUGGGCAACCUCUGGGCCACGGCCUCGACCUUCAUCGUCCUCUUCAUCCUCAGCCUCUUCUACAGCGCCACCGUCACCCUCAUCAAGGUACCCGAAAUCGCCCGAAAUCGACCCAAAAUCCACCCCGAAAUCACCUGAAAUCGGCCCCAAAAUUACCCCAAAAUCAACCCCAAAAUCACCUGAAAUAACCCAAAAUCAAUCCCAAAAUCACCCAAAUUAA
Long non-coding RNA from Cyanistes caeruleus (blue tit), 2274 nucleotides. The record is from Ensembl. NCBI's taxonomy places the organism in Eukaryota, Metazoa, Chordata, Aves, Passeriformes, Paridae.